This is a non-coding RNA of Chelonoidis abingdonii (Abingdon island giant tortoise), 2197 nucleotides long. NCBI's taxonomy places the organism in Eukaryota, Metazoa, Chordata, Testudines, Testudinidae. The record is from RefSeq and is a predicted model, not a curated record.
UGUUCCUCCGUACUGUGUCCAGAAUCCUGGCCCUUCGCACUGUACUUCCAGCUUGCUGGAAUUGUCGAUCCAAGUUUUUUGCCCUGCUUACCUUGAUCUUGGCCACCCGUCAUUCUGCUGCUGUGACUGAAUUUCAAAUGGCAUUGUAAGUCUGCUAUAACUGUCUUGCACACUCUUUAAAUCCUCUCAAGAGAAUUGGACAAAACAGAAACAGCCAACUUAAAAACAAGAAAAGAGAUGCUAACCACCUGUGAAGAACAAGAAAGGAAACAAAUUCUGAGAGCAAAGUAUAGUUGUGUGAUCUGUUUCAAAGGUUUAUACAAUGUCCAGCACCACAGUGUAUAUAUCCAUUGGAAGGAUAAAUGGAACAACUUGACUAGUAUCUGUUACCUUUUGAAUGCUGAUUAAUGUUAAUAGACAGUAUAUAACAAACUCUGAAGCUCAAUUACUUGUGGCACCACAAAACGGAAGAGUGGCGAACAGUUUCCUUCUAUAACCUUUCAAUUCAGUAACUACCUCUGCCACAUCAGAACUGAUAUGUCAUCUUAUUUUAUAAUGAUGUAUGUCCUCUCAAAUUGUCUUUUCUAAUGAGUCCAUAAAGCAUGGUUUGUGCAUCAUACUUCCAUAUUCUGGUAGAAAAGCAGGAUGUAUCUUUUUUAUUUAAUUCAAGACACUUAAUCUUUACUAGGCUUUCAUGACAUUGCUUGAUGAUUUGGGCUUCUGUUUAGCAAGAAGUCAGACUUAUUUUCUUAAAGUCUCUGUUGGCUACAGAACAAAAGUUAUUUGAAAAUGAUAGAAGAAAACUGAGAUGUUGGGUGCGAGUGGCCACCCUGAAAAGCAUUGGAAGAUCUCUUCCAGUAGGCACACUAUUAAUAUUUCUCCCAGUUCAUAAGAAAGCCCAUUUUUGAUACCAAAAUAGUACCAUAGCUAUGAUGCCAUAUGGAAUUUAACUAAGUUUCUACCUAUCACCAAUUAGAAAUUGUCAAUAGAACUUGUUAUUUGCAUCUAAAUGUUGAUUUCAUGCACCUAUGUAACCAAUUAUUUAAAAUGUGUUUUACCAGGUGACUACCCAAUUUUAUGUGAAAUAGUUAUACACUUCUUAGAAGAUGUACUCCUUUGACUUAAGUGUGUGACUUUUAUACAGUUGGGAGACUAAUGCUUUAUGUACUUUUUGUUUUUACUAACAAGUUUGUCACUAGGCACCAAGGAAUAAUUGUGAAUCUGUAAUGCAGAUCACACAAGCACUAUAGGAUCAUAGCUUACUAUUAUUAAAAAUAAAUCAUAAUUUCCUACAAAGUACAAAGAUGUAACUGAAGGGAAGGCAUGUGUUUGUAUUCUCCACUCAUCCUCAAUUCUCCGCUCCCCCUCCAAAAAAUUCAAAAAUAGUUCAGGUGGAAAGAUUAACAUUUACUCCAGGUAACACCUACCUUAAUAUUUUAAAGCUCUGUAUCUCUCACACAUUGCUAAAAACAAGCAAACAAAAUUAAAUGUUCUGGAAACUGGCAGUUACUUCCCCAACUUCACAACUUUCAAACACCUACUCUACUUCAACGGUCACACCAAUCCAAGUGUGCCACACAUGCAAUUUUAACUUAGCACCUAUUGUGUCAGAACAGUUAGAGUAUAUUUUGGUAGUUGUGUAUAUUGAUGUACAUGGUAAUAGUGGUGUUUUAAUGGGUUUUUAUGCUUAGUAAAUUAAGAGGAUGUUCGAGGAUGAUGAUGUGGAUGUUUUAUUUAGAGGUGAAAUAUUUUGUGGUGAUGACUGUUUUUCAGGUAUUGGUUUAGUGUGAAUUGUUGAAAAAUUUAGAUGAUUUUUGCAUGUGUACAUUGUUAGAUGUACUUAGAGGGCAAAGUUGAGGUUGCCUGUUUGGUGCAAUUUUAUUGGUGUGAAAGUUAAUUUAGAGUAUGUGUUUGAAAGCCUUGAAGUUUGAAUUUUAAGCUGUACAGGGAUCCAGUACCCGCUUCAGUUCUUACUGUCAUUCCAAAUUCCAAAAUCUGGGAUGAAGAUGACCUGGCAGAAUAAAGAUAUCUCCAGGGACUUUCAAGAGUUUAGCAUUUCUGCAGCUUCAUGGAAUUCCUUAAACCUUAUUGAGCUUUACAAAGUGUAAUAAUUGUGGGAAACGUCUACUUCUGCCAGUUAAGUGUUGAAAAAUGACCUAUAUUAAAAGAUUUAUACUGACAGUUAAUUCUGUUCUGU